CGGCGACAGCCGCCGCCGCCGUUACUGUCACUGUUCAAAGAACGUGGCCGUUACAGUUUCCGCUGCCGCUGUGGUCGCCGC
This 81-nucleotide microRNA precursor is filed under the name Human betaherpesvirus 6B. Its description in RNAcentral is "microRNA hhv6b-mir-Ro6 precursor (hhv6b-mir-Ro6-2)". Its record names the gene hhv6b-mir-Ro6-2. Lineage: Duplodnaviria; Heunggongvirae; Peploviricota; Herviviricetes; Herpesvirales; Orthoherpesviridae. The record is from miRBase by way of RNAcentral.